This 274-nucleotide ribosomal RNA is filed under the name uncultured bacterium. RNAcentral describes it as "partial 16S ribosomal RNA". It matches the Rfam family "Bacterial small subunit ribosomal RNA", at positions 524 to 776 of the family's 1533-position model. The record is from RNAcentral.
UACGGGGGGGGGCAAGCGUUGUUCGGAAUUACUGGGCGUAAAGGGCUCGUAGGCGGCCAACUAAGUCAGACGUGAAAUCCCUCGGCUUAACCGGGGAACUGCAUCUGAUACUGGAUGGCUUGAGUUCGGGAGAGGGAUGCGGAAUUCCAGGUGUAGCGGUGAAAUGCGUAGAUAUCUGGAGGAACACCGGUGGCGAAGGCGGCCCGCUGGGCAGGAAGGCCCCCUCACGGGGGCCGGCUGACGCUGAGGCGCGACAGCGUGGGGAGCAAACAGG